RNAcentral lists this ribosomal RNA (462 nucleotides) under uncultured bacterium. Its description in RNAcentral is "partial 16S ribosomal RNA". It matches the Rfam family "Bacterial small subunit ribosomal RNA", at positions 28 to 507 of the family's 1533-position model. The record is from RNAcentral.
GACGAACGCUGGCGGCGUGCUUAACACAUGCAAGUCGAGUGGAAAGGCCCUUCGGGGUACUCGAGCGGCGAACGGGUGAGUAACACGUGAGUAACCUGCCCCAGACUUUGGGAUAACCCUCGGAAACGGGGGCUAAUACCGGAUACGACACAGCUUCGCAUGGGGUCUGUGUGGAAAGUUUUUCGGUUUGGGAUGGGCUCGCGGCCUAUCAGCUUGUUGGUGGGGUGAUGGCCUACCAAGGCGACGACGGGUAGCCGGCCUGAGAGGGCGACCGGCCACACUGGGACUGAGACACGGCCCAGACUCCUACGGGAGGCAGCAGUGGGGAAUAUUGCACAAUGGGCGGAAGCCUGAUGCAGCGACGCCGCGUGAGGGAUGACGGCCUUCGGGUUGUAAACCUCUUUCAGCAGGGACGAAGCGUAAGUGACGGUACCUGCAGAAGAAGCGCCGGCCAACUACGUG